GCCCCGGUAAACGGCGGCCGUAACUAUAACGGUCCUAAGGUAGCGAAAUUCCUUGUCGGGUAAGUUCCGACCUGCACGAAUGGCGUAAUGAUGGCCAGGCUGUCUCCACCCGAGACUCAGUGAAAUUGAACUCGCUGUGAAGAUGCAGUGUACCCGCGGCAAGACGGAAAGACCCCGUGAACCUUUACUAUAGCUUGACACUGAACAUUGAGCCUUGAUGUGUAGGAUAGGUGGGAGGCUUUGAAGUGUGGACGCCAGUCUGCAUGGAGCCGACCUUGAAAUACCACCCUUUAAUGUUUGAUGUUCUAACGUUGGCCCGUAAUCCGGGUUGCGGACAGUGUCUGGUGGGUAGUUUGACUGGGGCGGUCUCCUCCUAAAGAGUAACGGAGGAGCACGAAGGUUGGCUAAUCCUGGUCGGACAUCAGGAGGUUAGUGCAAUGGCAUAAGCCAGCUUGACUGCGAGCGUGACGGCGCGAGCAGGUGCGAAAGCAGGUCAUAGUGAUCCGGUGGUUCUGAAUGGAAGGGCCAUCGCUCAACGGAUAAAAGGUACUCCGGGGAUAACAGGCUGAUACCGCCCAAGAGUUCAUAUCGACGGCGGUGUUUGGCACCUCGAUGUCGGCUCAUCACAUCCUGGGGCUGAAGUAGGUCCCAAGGGUAUGGCUGUUCGCCAUUUAAAGUGGUACGCGAGCUGGGUUUAGAACGUCGUGAGACAGUUCGGUCCCUAUCUGCCGUGGGCGCUGGAGAACUGAGGGGGGCUGCUCCUAGUACGAGAGGACCGGAGUGGACGCAUCACUGGUGUUCGGGUUGUCAUGCCAAUGGCACUGCCCGGUAGCUAAAUGCGGAAGAGAUAAGUGCUGAAAG
This 861-nucleotide ribosomal RNA is filed under the name Escherichia coli. Its description in RNAcentral is "partial 23S ribosomal RNA". It matches the Rfam family "Bacterial large subunit ribosomal RNA", at positions 1917 to 2777 of the family's 2925-position model. Lineage: Bacteria; Pseudomonadati; Pseudomonadota; Gammaproteobacteria; Enterobacterales; Enterobacteriaceae. The record is from RNAcentral.